UGGGGGAUUUUGCACAAUGGGCGCAAGCCUGAUGCAGCGACGCCGCGUGAGGGAUGAAGGCCUUCGGGUUGUAAACCUCUUUCGCUGGGUUGAAAGGCCAUGCUUUGGGUGUGGUUGAUUUGAACUGGUAAAGAAGUACCGGCUAACUACGUGCCAGCAGCCGCGGUAAUACGUAGGGUACUAGCGUUGUCCGGAUUUAUUGGGCGUAAAGGGCUUGUAGGUGGUUUGUCGCGUCUGUCGUGAAAUCCUGUGGCUUAACCAUGGGCUUGCGGUGGGUACGGGCAGGCUUGAGUGCGGUAGGGGAGACUGGAAUUCCUGGUGUAGCGGUGGAAUGCGCAGGUAUCAGGAGGAACACCGGUGGCGAAGGCGGGUCUCUGGGCCGUUACUGACACUGAGGAGCGAAAGCGUGGGGAGCGAACAGG
Molecule: ribosomal RNA, 422 nt
Filed under: Fusobacteriota bacterium
Lineage: Bacteria; Fusobacteriati; Fusobacteriota
Description: Fusobacteria bacterium partial 16S ribosomal RNA
Rfam family: Bacterial small subunit ribosomal RNA
Source: RNAcentral